Molecule: ribosomal RNA, 763 nt
Filed under: Tylenchus sp. FL-SType-6
Lineage: Eukaryota; Metazoa; Nematoda; Chromadorea; Rhabditida; Tylenchidae
Description: SSU rRNA
Rfam family: Eukaryotic small subunit ribosomal RNA
Source: RNAcentral
UCGCAAAUUACCCACUCUCAGAACAUUGAGGAGGUAGUGACGAAAAAUAACGAGACCGUUCUCUACGAGGCCGGUCAUCGGAAUGGGUACAAUCUAAACCCUUUAACGAGUAUCUAUGAGAGGGCAAGUCUGGUGCCAGCAGCCGCGGUAAUUCCAGCUCUCAAAAUGCAUAGAAUUAUUGCUGCGGUUAAAAAGCUCGUAGUUGGAUCUGUGCCAGGGAGUCGGUCCACUUUCGAGUGCGUACUGGCUAACCCAGGCUUUGUUUGCCGGUUUUCUCCUCGUCGGUCUUAACCGACUGCGGGGGGUGGCUGGCGAUUUUACUUUGAACAAAUCAGAGUGCUUAACACAGGCGUUUCGCUUGAAUGUUCGUGCAUGGAAUAAUAGAAAAGGAUUUCGGUUCUAUUUUAUUGGUUUUAUAGACUGAGAUAAUGGUUAACAGAGACAAACGGGGGCAUUCGUAUUGCUGCGUGAGAGGUGAAAUUCUUGGACCGCAGCAAGACGAACUACAGCGAAAGCAUUUGCCAAGAAUGUCUUCAUUAAUCAAGAACGAAAGUCAGAGGUUCGAAGGCGAUCAGAUACCGCCCUAGUUCUGACCGUAAACGAUGCCAACUAGCGAUCCGCCGGCGGAUAUUUCGCCCUGGUGGGGAGCUUCCCGGAAACGAAAGUCUUCCGGUUCCGGGGGAAGUAUGGUUGCAAAGCUGAAACUUAAAGGAAUUGACGGAAGGGCACCACCAGGAGUGGAGCCUGCGGCUUAAUUUGACUA